GUCAGAAAGAGAAAGUACUCAGGGAUGAAUCCUGACAGCCCGUUAUCCCAAGGCUUCUUGAAAUUUCAUUUCGUGAUUAAAGCCUGGCCAGAUACACAGAAAAAGCUCCAGAAGGUGGGAGGAUGUAGUGAACAGUCACUGGGGGGCCCUCCUGUGGGAGGCCCUGAAGGUGUAUGUCAGGAGGGGAGAUGAGAAGGAAAA
Long non-coding RNA from Oxyura jamaicensis (ruddy duck), 201 nucleotides. RefSeq lists it as uncharacterized. The transcript has 2 exons. The record is from RefSeq and is a predicted model, not a curated record. NCBI's taxonomy places the organism in Eukaryota, Metazoa, Chordata, Aves, Anseriformes, Anatidae.